UUUGUUUUUAAGCAAGAAGAAUCCCUUUAGAGGAGGAAUUAGGAAAGAAAAAAAAGUCAAACAAAAACAAAAACAGAAGGAGUGGAGCUUUGUCUCUCUCUUUUGUCCCCUGCCUUGCCCUUCCUCCCUAUCCCAUCCCCCUCACUUUCUCUGUUGCUUUUCAUGCCAGUUACUAAAGACUGUAAUUUUAAAACUGAACUGGCUUUUCCAGAGCCUUGAGGAAUGUGCAUCUGCACGUGGAUUUUUCCACAAAAAAAUUGUCCAUGUCUUUUGGAUCUUCUUAGCCAGAAACAAUGAGGCCAGGCACUCAGAGUCCAUCCGUCUUCCCAACUCUUAUUCUAAUUUGUUUGAGAGGCUCAGAAGGGGCUGAAGGGCGUGGUUGUCUUUCACCCUGUCAGACUCUGUUGUUUGGUGAGGUUUGUGCUCCAUUUGUCCGGAUGGUUUUUAUGGUUUCUUUGUUGUUCAUGGAAUAACUUUGAAGGUCAUAAUUCUGUAUCCUCAAGCUCCUCUGCUAUUCCUGCUCAAUGUCUCAAUGGGACUCAUACCACGAGAAAGGGAAGGAAGAAGUUUCCAGCUAGUUAGUUAAGCAAUUUCUCAACAUGUUUGUGGAAGCAUGUGGAAUCUUUCAAGAAAGAAGUUAUGAUCACAAAAGUUCGGAUUUGAGGAGUAUUCUCCAAGACAAUCGAGAAGCAAGCCCUUAGUCAUGCCCAGGUGGGGAGCAGGUCUCUAUCCACUCAUUUCCUGAUCCAGCCCCUUUCCCAGCCACAUUUCUGGCCUCUUCCCUUUCUCUGCAGUCAUCAGCCCAGCCCUCUCCACUAUCAACAGAAAAGCCUGAGACCCCUCAGAGAGCCUGGAAUGUGCUCCCACCGCUGUGAUGUCGUCCCACAUCAUCCAUGUGCUGAAAUCAGGGGCUGGAGUUGGCCCCCAGGAAUGUCACGGCCAUGGGCUUUGAGACACUCUUCUUAUGGGCCUUUCACCCAAUCCAGACCUUGCCUGCUCUUCAGAGCUGCUUGAAGGAUUUUGCUACAGAACUAUGGACAUUUAAAAAAUGUCUAACCUUGUGUCAGUUUAUAUUUGUAGAAAGCUUCAUAAGGUGCUUUUCCAUAUGUUAUCUCAUUUGAUCAUUUCCACAACCCCAUAAGGUAGAUAAAACAUAAAUUUUUAUUUACAUAUUAAAGAAAAUUGAAGCCCAGAGGAGACUUUUGAUUCAUCCCAGGCUUCACAACAAAUAGUGUCAGGGAGAGAACUUGAACCAAUCCUCUGACUUCACAUUCAGGGUUCUUCCCAUUACUUUGGCUCCCAGAUAAGACUACAGUCUUCUCAAAGUCAGAGUGUUAAUGUUCCAACCCCAGGGGGUGAGUACAUUUCCAGAAUUUAGGGAUGCUUUAAAAGCCAUUGCUGAAUUGAAUUUUAUUUCUCCUGAUCACUACAGAUAAUGCUCAUGCAACUUUUCUGAGAAGCAGGCGAUGCUAAUGUGCCCCUAUUUGUUAUUGUUCAUUAGACCCUUCUUAUGACUCAGUCAGAAGAGGAGCAUGGGGCAAUAACAUGAAUUCUGGCCUCAACAAAAGUAAGUAAAUGUUUUAUAGUUCUUUGGAGGAAAGCAUGUUUCUGAGGACGGGGUUGGAGAACAGGAUCAUGAGAUACAGGAGAGCAGCAAGCAUUUGUUUCCCUGCUUUUUGAGUAGACAUCAAAAUUAUUUGCCAAUUUAGGGCCUUUCCAUGAUACCAGUCCUUGAAAGACGACAUGGGAUUUUCGUUUAGAUUUUUGAGUUUUGUUUCAUUGCACUUGGUUUUAGAACAUUGGAAGUUUGAAGGUUUUCUUGAGACAAGGUUCUGUACCAAUGAAUGGUCACUGUCACUGGGUUUGGCUUCUGUUAUUUAAACCAAGAUAAUGACUCUCUAUAACUUUGCUCCCAUAACUGUUGAGGCUAAGUCAUACCAAUUUCCCCAUCCCCCUUGAUACUGAGUAGACUUCCUCAUAUCAUCAUCUCACCACUUGGUGAAGAAAUUGAUGUCUCAGAACCCUGCCAUCUCCUCAACAGGUUAUCUUCUGUCCCUGAUAAGGAGAUGCCGGGGGGUCUGGGACAUCAGUUUUUCCACCAAGUGGUAAGAAGAUGAUAUGUCGAAGUCUACCCAAUAUCUCCCAAUAAGAGAAUAAGGGGAAAGAAUGACUCAUGAACUCCUGUACCAGAAAUCAAUCUUGCCAUGCCUAGGAAGCAAAAUAUGAAGCACAUGAACAGGUGGUAAAGGGAAUUCUUUCAAGAAAGAGGUUGGGGUUACAAAUUAAUGCACAAACAAUAACUGAGACCCCUUCCAAUUAUGUGUAUUAAUUAUUUACUUACUCUGCACAUGACAUUUGGCAAUAUAAGAUUCACAAAGAUGAAUCAGAUAUGCACUGGUCCCAUAAAUGGAAGAGAGAAAUCACACACACGCAGAACUCCUUUCAUCUGGUUGGUAUCAAGGAAGGCUUUGUGGACCUGGUAGCACUUGAGUUAGCUCUGGAAGGAGAGGCAGGAUUUGGACCUGUGGCGAUAUGGGCUGGGGAAGACAUCAGCUUGGCAUGUCUGACAGUCAGUGAGGAUCUCAGGUUCCUGGAGUUUAGGAUGUGUGAUGCAGAAGAGGUUUGGAAAGGUAAGAAACAGAAUUGUAAAUGAUGCUAUGAAGAUAGGCUUUAGUUCUUUAGGCAAUGAAGAGUCACUAAGGUUUUGAACAGUGACGCUUAUGGUGGGUUGUGGGGAGACAGAAGAGUAAUGAGGACACUAGUCAGACUAAGCCACAAACCAUGCAAGAAGCAAUACAGAUCUGCGAUGCAGAAGUGAUCGUGGGAAUGGAAAGGGUGUGUGAGAGAUACCAAGGCGGAAACUCACAAGACAGGGACACCAGAAAGCAGCUAUCUUUGCUCAGAUGUCACUUUCUCAGUAAGGACUUCUCUAACUUUCCAAUUUGAAAAUGAAAUCCACAGCCUCAGUACCAUCAGUGAUGCUAUACUGUUGGUUUACUUUUUAAAAAUUUGAAAAUGAAAAGGUGACAUUUAAGCAAAGACAAAAUUUUAAGAAUUUAAAAAUGCAUUUAUUAUUGUCUCUCCCAUUGGAAUGCAAGUUCUACCAUGAACUGCUUGUUCAUUCCUGAAUCUCCAGCCUGGAGAACAGCGCCAGCACAUAGUAGAUUCUAGGUAAAUGUUUCUAAAAUAAGAUGAAUAAAUGAGUCAGUGGAGAGUGGGUGAAGGAAUGAGUGAGAAAGCACAUCUGUCAAGACGUCUCGCUCCCCUCGGGGAGCUGGGUCCUACUCACUGCAUUUCUUUCCCUCUUGCCACAGGUCCUCCCCUUGGAGGGGCACAAACAAUCAGUAAGAAUACAGAGCAACGGCCCCAGCCAGAUCCGUAUCAGAUCCUGGGCCCGACCAGCAGUCGCCUAGCCAACCCUGGAAGCGGGCAGAUCCAGCUGUGGCAAUUCCUCCUGGAGCUGCUCUCCGACAGCGCCAACGCCAGCUGUAUCACCUGGGAGGGGACCAACGGGGAGUUCAAAAUGACGGACCCCGAUGAGGUGGCCAGGCGCUGGGGCGAGCGGAAAAGCAAGCCCAACAUGAAUUACGACAAGCUGAGCCGGGCCCUCCGAUAUUACUAUGAUAAAAACAUUAUGACCAAAGUGCACGGCAAAAGAUAUGCCUACAAAUUUGACUUCCACGGCAUUGCCCAGGCUCUGCAGCCACAUCCGACCGAGUCGUCCAUGUACAAGUACCCUUCUGACAUCUCCUACAUGCCUUCUUACCAUGCCCACCAGCAGAAGGUGAACUUUGUCCCUCCCCAUCCAUCCUCCAUGCCUGUCACUUCCUCCAGCUUCUUUGGCGCCGCAUCACAAUACUGGACCUCCCCCACGGGGGGAAUCUACCCCAACCCCAACGUCCCCCGCCAUCCUAACACCCACGUGCCUUCACACUUAGGCAGCUACUACUAGAAGCUUACUCAUCGGUGGCCUUCUAGCUGAAGCCCAUCCUGCACACUUACUGGAUGCUUUGGACUCAACAGGACAUAUGUGGCCUUGAAGAGAAGACAAAACUGGAUGUUCUUUCUUGUUGGAUAGAACCUUUGUAUUUGUUCUUUAAAAACAUUUUUUUUUAAUGUUGGUAACUUUUGCUUCCUCUACCUGAACAAAGAGAUGAAUAAUUCCAUGGGCCAGUAUGUCAGUUUGAAUUCUCAGUCUCCUAGCAUCUUGUGAGUUGCGUAUUAAGAUUACUGGAAUGGUUAUGUCAUGGUUCUGAGAAAGAAGCUGUACAUUUUCUUUAUGUUUUUAUGACCAAAGCAGUUUCUUAUCAAUACACGGGUCUCAUUAUGGGGUUCAGUAUGACACAGAAUCAUGGACUUAACCAGUCAUGUUCUGGUUUGAGAUUUAGUGAAAAUAGAGGUGGGAAGCUUAUAAUCUAAUUUUAGGAGGACCAAAUUCAGUGGAUGGCAACUGGAACAUUGAUUGUAAGGCCAGUGAAGUUUUCACCCAACUGGAAUUUGAUGGAAAGAAGGUUUGUGUGUUUAAGACGCCAAGGGCAUUGCAGAAUCCCUCUCAGUGGACAGUAUGCACUCAGCUGACCACUCUCUCUAGAAAUAGUCAAGAUAUGAACUAAGAAAUUUUAAUGCAAAUACAUACAUUCCUGAAAGACGGGGAAUUAAAUAACUAAUUUUUUUUUUAAUGAUGACAGUAGUCCCAGAACUUGGAAAAGUUGUAGGGAUUUCUAAACUCAAGCAGAUUCGCAAGCGCUGUGCGCUUGUCAGACCAUCAGACCAGGGUCAACCAAUCAGAAGGCAACUUACUGUAUAAAUUAUGCAGAGUUAUUUUCCUAUAUCUCACAGUAUUAAAAAUAAAUAAUUAAAAAUUAAGAAUAAAUAAACGAGUUGACCUCGGUCACAAAAGCAGUUUUACUAUCAAAUCAAUCGCUGUUAUUUUUUUUAAUGUAAUUUGUACAUCUUUUAUCAUCUGUACAUUUGGGCUGUUUGUAUGUUUUUAUAGCUGGUUUUUAAAAAGCAUAAUAUGACUAUAGCUGAAAAGGAAACAGGGCUGUUUAAGUCACUGACUUACGAGAAAGCAAAGCACUGGUACAGUUAUUUAACAGGCAUACACAAGCAAGGAAAGAUAAUCCAUUUAGAUCUUUAAUGCUUUGGAAAUGUGUGUAACAGUACUGCAAUAAUCACAGCUCUGGGAAAAACAACGAAACUUUCCCUUGUGGAGAGGAGGGAUUUUCCUGCUCUAUAUAUGCAACAUAUUUUUAGACAUUAAAAUAUAUAUAAUUUUGCAGGUAAUUGUUGACUUUUUUAACUAUAUUAAGUGUUAAGCUGACAACUGUCAAUGAAGACCAUGUUGUAAAAUAAUUUGACUAAAUAAAUGGUUCCUUCUCUCA
RNAcentral lists this small RNA (5384 nucleotides) under Pongo abelii (Sumatran orangutan). RNAcentral describes it as "retained intron". The record is from RNAcentral. Lineage: Eukaryota; Metazoa; Chordata; Mammalia; Primates; Hominidae.